GACGAACGCUGGCGGUGUGCUUAACACAUGCCAGUCGAACGGUAAGGCCCUUUCGGGGGUACACGAGUGGCGAACGGGUGAGUAACACGUGAGUAACCUGCCCUCAUCUCUGGGAUAACAGUCGGAAACGGUUGCUAAUACUGGAUAUGAGCCUGCAAGGCAUCUUGUGGGUUGGAAAGAUUUUUUGGUUGGGGAUGGACUCGCGGCCUAUCAGCUUGUUGGUGAGGUAGUGGCUCACCAAGGCUUCGACGGGUAGCCGGCCUGAGAGGGCGACCGGCCACAUUGGGACUGAGAUACGGCCCAAACUCCUACGGGAGGCAGCAGUGGGGAAUAUUGCACAAUGGACGGAAGUCUGAUGCAGCAACGCCGCGGGCGGGAUGACGGCCUUCGGGUUGUAAACCGCUUUCAAUUGUGACGAAGCUUUUUGUGACGGUAGCAGUAGAAGAAGCACCGGCUAACUACGUG
Molecule: ribosomal RNA, 465 nt
Filed under: uncultured bacterium
Lineage: Bacteria
Description: partial 16S ribosomal RNA
Rfam family: Bacterial small subunit ribosomal RNA
Source: RNAcentral